Non-coding RNA from Deltaproteobacteria bacterium, 114 nucleotides. NCBI's taxonomy places the organism in Bacteria, Pseudomonadati, Myxococcota, Myxococcia. The record is from Rfam.
ACCUUAUCCAGAGUGGUGGAGGGACAGGCCCGUUGAAGCCACAGCAACCGGUUCCAUCCUUCGGGAUGGAAUGCUGGUGCUAAUUCCCGCCCCGGUUUAGGGGGAAGAUAAGGU